Molecule: ribosomal RNA, 912 nt
Filed under: uncultured beta proteobacterium
Lineage: Bacteria; Pseudomonadati; Pseudomonadota; Betaproteobacteria
Description: bacterial SSU rRNA
Rfam family: Bacterial small subunit ribosomal RNA
Source: RNAcentral
AGAGUUUGAUCCUGGCUCAGAUUGAACGCUGGCGGCAUGCCUUACACAUGCAAGUCGAACGGCAGCGGACCUUCGGGUGCCGGCGAGUGGCGAACGGGUGAGUAAAGUAUCGGAACGUACCUUUCAGUGGGGGAUAACGUAGCGAAAGUUACGCUAAUACCGCAUAUUCUCUGAGGAGGAAAGCAGGGGACCUUCGGGCCUUGCGCUGGUGGAGCGGCCGAUAUCAGAUUAGCUAGUUGGUGGGGUAAAGGCUUACCAAGGCGACGAUCUGUAGCGGGUCUGAGAGGAUGAUCCGCCACACUGGGACUGAGACACGGCCCAGACUCCUACGGGAGGCAGCAGUGGGGAAUUUUGGACAAUGGGCGAAAGCCUGAUCCAGCCAUGCCGCGUGAGUGAAGAAGGCCUUCGGGUUGUAAAGCUCUUUCGGCCGGGAAGAAAUCGUGUGGGCUAAUACCCUGCAUGGAUGACGGUACCGGAAUAAGAAGCACCGGCUAACUACGUGCCAGCAGCCGCGGUAAUACGUAGGGUGCGAGCGUUAAUCGGAAUUACUGGGCGUAAAGCGUGCGCAGGCGGUUUGGUAAGACAGGCGUGAAAUCCCCGGGCUCAACCUGGGAACUGCGCUUGUGACUGCCUCACUAGAGUACGGCAGAGGGGGGUGGAAUUCCACGUGUAGCAGUGAAAUGCGUAGAGAUGUGGAGGAACACCGAUGGCGAAGGCAGCCCCCUGGGCCGAUACUGACGCUCAUGCACGAAAGCGUGGGUAGCAAACAGGAUUAGAUACCCUGGUAGUCCACGCCCUAAACGAUGUCAACUAGUAGUUGGGGGGGUAAAACCCUUUAGUAACGUAGCUAACGCGUGAAGUUGACCGCCUGGGGAGUACGGCCGCAAGGUUAAAACUCAAAGGAAUUGACGG